CAGUCGCCGCGGUAAAACGGAGGGCGCGAGCGUUACCCGGAUUUACUGGGCGUAAAGGGCGUGUAGGCGGCCUGGGGCGUCCCAUGUGAAAGGCCACGGCUCAACCGUGGGGGAGCGUGGGAUACGCUCAGGCUAGAGGGUGGGAGAGGGUGGUGGAAUUCCCGGAGUAGCGGUGAAAUGCGCAGAUACCGGGAGGAACGCCGAUGGCGAAGGCAGCCACCUGGUCCACUUCUGACGCUGAGGCGCGAAAGCGUGGUGAGCAAACCGGAUUAGAUACCCCCGUAGUCCCUGUCUCUUAUAC
This 301-nucleotide ribosomal RNA is filed under the name uncultured bacterium. RNAcentral's name for it is "partial 16S ribosomal RNA". It matches the Rfam family "Bacterial small subunit ribosomal RNA", at positions 509 to 807 of the family's 1533-position model. The record is from RNAcentral.